UACUAGAGUAGCACUCGCAUAUCAAUAAGCGGAGGAAAAGAAACUAACAAGGAUUCCCCUAGUAACGGCGAGUGAAGCGGGAAGAGCUCAAAUUUGAAAUCUUAAGGGGUUUCCCUUUACGAAUUGUAGUUUAAAGAAGUGUUUUCUGUUGAGGUUUUGGUAAAAGUUCUUUGGAAUAGGACAUCAUAGAGGGUGAGAAUCCCGUAUUUGACCUUUACUUUCAACUUUGUGAUACACUUUCAAAGAGUCGGAUUGUUUGGGAAUGCAGUCCAAAAUGGGUGGUAAAUUUCAUCUAAAGCUAAAUAUUGGCGAGAGACCGAUAGCGAACAAGUACCGUGAGGGAAAGAUGAAAAGAACUUUGAAAAGAGAGUUAAACAGUACGUGAAAUUGUCAAAAGGGAAGCGUUUGACACCAGUGUUGUUUUUCUGAAAAUCAAUUAAAGAACUGUUUAUGCUAAGUUGUUUAGACUUUAUCAGCUAUCUGUUUAGUUUUGAGCUUUUCUUUAAUGCACUUUUCAGUUAACAAGUCAACAUCAAUUUCUUCUGCUGUAAAAAAGCUUGAGGAAGGUGGCUUGAGAUUCGUCUUAAGUGUUUAUAGCCUCUUGCCUAUGCAGUCGGAGAGAUUGAGGUCUGCAGCGUAGAUCCUUCGGGGCUAAAUGCAUUUGUGCUAAGUUAUAGCAUUUUAUAGACAACUUGUUGACUAUGAUUUGUCUUGUAGCUUACUCGCUUAUGUUAUUUUACCUACGCUUAGGAUGUUGAACUACUGAGACAUAGA
This 774-nucleotide ribosomal RNA is filed under the name uncultured Neocallimastigales. RNAcentral's name for it is "partial large subunit ribosomal RNA". It matches the Rfam family "Eukaryotic large subunit ribosomal RNA", at positions 20 to 644 of the family's 3401-position model. The record is from RNAcentral. Lineage: Eukaryota; Fungi; Neocallimastigomycota; Neocallimastigomycetes; Neocallimastigales.